GACGGAGGAUGCAAGCGUUAUCCGGAAUGAUUGGGCGUAAAGCGUCCGCAGGUGGCAGUUCAAGUCUGCUGUCAAAGACCGGGGCUUAACUUCGGAAAGGCAGUGGAAACUGAACAGCUAGAGUACGGUAGGGGCAGAGGGAAUUCCUGGUGUAGCGGUGAAAUGCGUAGAGAUCAGGAAGAACAUCGGUGGCGAAGGCGCUCUGCUGGACCAUAACUGACACUCAGGGACGAAAGCUAGGGGAGCGAAUGGG
RNAcentral lists this ribosomal RNA (253 nucleotides) under uncultured bacterium. Its description in RNAcentral is "partial 16S ribosomal RNA". It matches the Rfam family "Bacterial small subunit ribosomal RNA", at positions 524 to 776 of the family's 1533-position model. The record is from RNAcentral.